GGGAGAUUAGCUCAGUUGGUAGAGCAGCGGACUCUUAAUCCGUUUGUCGCGAGUUCGACCCUCGCAUCUCCCA
This 73-nucleotide transfer RNA is filed under the name Candidatus Methylopumilus turicensis. It matches the Rfam family "tRNA". Rfam says of the family: Transfer RNA (tRNA) molecules are approximately 80 nucleotides in length. Their secondary structure includes four short double-helical elements and three loops (D, anti-codon, and T loops). The record is from Rfam by way of RNAcentral. Lineage: Bacteria; Pseudomonadati; Pseudomonadota; Betaproteobacteria; Nitrosomonadales; Methylophilaceae.